CCCGCACAAGCGGUGGAGCAUGUGGUUUAAUUCGAUGCAACGCGAAGAACCUUACCUGGGCUUGACAUCCCUGGAAUCCCCUGGAAACAGGGGAGUGCCCUUCGGGGAGCCAGGAGACAGGUGCUGCAUGGCUGUCGUCAGCUCGUGUCGUGAGAUGUUGGGUUAAGUCCCGCAACGAGCGCAACCCUUGUCUUUAAUUGCCAUCAUUCAGUUGGGCACUUUAAAGAGACUGCCGGUGUUAAACCGGAGGAAGGUGGGGAUGACGUCAAGUCCUCAUGGCCUUUAUGCCCAGGGCUACACACGUGCUACAAUGGGUGGUACAAAGAGAUGCAAUCUCGCAAGAGCAAGCAAACCUCAAAAAGCCAUCCUCAGUUCGGAUUGGAGUCUGCAACUCGACUCCAUGAAGUUGGAUUCGCUAGUAAUCGCGCAUCAGCCAUGGCCGCGGUCGAAUACGUUCCGGGCCUU
This 465-nucleotide ribosomal RNA is filed under the name uncultured Syntrophus sp. RNAcentral's name for it is "bacterial SSU rRNA". It matches the Rfam family "Bacterial small subunit ribosomal RNA", at positions 920 to 1382 of the family's 1533-position model. The record is from RNAcentral. Lineage: Bacteria; Pseudomonadati; Thermodesulfobacteriota; Syntrophia; Syntrophales; Syntrophaceae.